This 3759-nucleotide long non-coding RNA is filed under the name Manduca sexta (tobacco hornworm). RNAcentral's name for it is "uncharacterized LOC119191029, transcript variant X1". The record is from RNAcentral. Lineage: Eukaryota; Metazoa; Arthropoda; Insecta; Lepidoptera; Sphingidae.
CUACACUAUAUGUUACAAGUGGGUUCCGGCAGGUGCUCGCGUUAUAUUUGUAUACCAGUUGGACCGCGAGAUGUAUUUGUUUGGAAGGUUAUCGUUGCCGAGUUUGUUGUGAAGAUAAUGCAGCGGCGCGGCGUGUACCUGUGUUGGCGCAGUCGCAGAGCAGCUGGUUGUGCGCGGUGACGCAGCGGCCGCCGUGCAGGCAGGCGGGCUGCGCGCCGCGCGCCGCCUCCGCGCAGCCGUCGCGCUCCUCCGAGCAGCGCGCGCCGCGCCAGCCCUCCGCGCACGCGCACCACGCGCUCUGCACGCACACACACACGUCACUCACUUCAGCCACCUACCGUGGCCCUCCACCAUCCGAGCCCCGUAAUUAUAGGCGGUUAGGAAAAGUAGUGAGGCUCAUCUUCGCGGAUGAACUGAUCGAUUACCAUGUCAAAAGGGUAAAUUAGAGUGAAAUGAGUACAAAUAUAGCAUUAGACACGUGUGUGUGAUUACCUCGGUGUCGUUGACGCACGUGCCGUGCACGCAGGGCGUCAGCUCGCAGAACGCAUGCUCGCAGUACUCGCCCUCAUACCCCUUCAAACACGAGCACUUGAAUGGAUUACCGGUCACCGGAUCUGGACAAUGACAUCAUUUAUUGAUAUAGGACUUUAGUAACAAAGUAUUAAAUAAAGAGAAGAGUACCAUUGUAAUGGUUAGUUAAAGCAUUAGAAAAUAUUUUUUUUUUAUUUAUCAUAAUGGCGAAUAACGUUAUUAACUCGAUUUCAUCCAAUAAUUAUUUAUGUAAAUUGAAAUAAUAUGGUAAUAACAUACCGGGAUCGGUAUCAGUGCAAGAGCCGUGGAUGCACGGUCGAUGUGCGCAAGAGCGCGCGUGCGGCAGCUCGCAGACGCGGCCGCGCCACGCGCCGGCGCACGCGCACCGGAACGAGCCCGGCUCGUUCACGCACGUGCCGCCGUGCUGGCACGGGGACGACACGCACUCGUCGAUGUCCACGGAACACCUGGCAACAUCAAACACUUUAUAAUCUUCGUACUAAGACAGAGUCGUACCUGGCAGUACUCGCCCGAGUAUCCGGGCGGGCAGGCGCACGCGUAGGAGGAGCGCACGUCGGCACAGCGGCCGCCGUUGGCGCAGUCCGUCUCCAGGCACAGCACGCACUCCACGCCCUGCGACGCGCCCCACCCGCGACCCGACCUGCGCGUACACACCGAUAUACUUAUCGACCAAUGAAGGUAUUAUAUGAUACAGCAAAAACGUUGUUAAAAACUAUUCAUUUCAUUCAUUAAAGCAUCCAGUAAAUUAAUAUAUUCUUUAUUUAUUUAUAAAAGUUUUAAUAAAGGCACUCUACAUAAUAAACGAGGGUAAAAUAAUUAUGGUGGAGUAUUUUAUAUGAAUAAAUGACAGUGUAUUUAUUAAGGCUGUUGCAACUCACACAAGUGCGUAGUGCGGCUGUCCGGCGAGCAGACGCGCGGCGGCGCCCACGAACAGCUCUUCCUCGGUGAAGAACGGCAGCAGCAGCGAGCCCACGUGCACUGCGCCCACGCAACCCUACACAACACACAGUUGUAAAGCAGUCACCACACCAAUAUAAAUACAUAUCCACAAAAAAAAUGUUUUAUAAAUCACGUUCUAUUUUUAUGUUACACGUCCUAUACUUUUGUUUACGAACCUUGAAAUAUUUUCCUUCUAAGUUAUCUCCGGGAGUUUCCUCGCCUUCCGAGUUAUCCCAAGUGCUAGGAUCCGUGGAGCCAUCAGUCUGAAAAAUGUAUUGUUUGAAAAAAAAAUAAUCAGAAUAUUAUAUCGUAUAUUAUCGUGCGCAACUAUGUCCAACAUUAGCUAGGUUUAACAUAUGUAGCUAGUGGAGUGAAGUAUAAAAGUUUAUCCGACACAGACCAGUGCAGUGGGCGCGAGCGUGGGCGGCAGGGUGGAGGCGGCGGCGGCGGGCGCGGGGCGGGAGCGCGGCGCGCCGCCGAGGUACAGGCGCCCGUCGCGCACCAGGCGCUGCCACGCGCGCACGUCGAUCGCGCCCGACAGGCCCACCGGCGCGCGCCCCUCCGCGUCCACGAACGCGCCUGCGACACCGACAUCAAUAGUGCAACACGAACGCAUCUGAUACUCUACUCUUUAUGCUUAUAAACUAAACAACACCAUCAAAGCAUAAAACUCUGCUACGAGUCAAACUAUCAUCUCACACCUGUAAUUUGGUCCCUGUGGAAUGUGAACCGUACUGUCGUCCACUGCAGAUGCGAGUGGUGUGCGUGCAUGCGCAGUGCGCGGGGCAGCCGGCCGCCGAGGCGCCACUGCACCGACACCAGCUCCUUGAACACGCCCACGCUGAACCACGCGCCUUCCUCCGCGCUCUCGUCCUCGCUCUCCGCGCGGAACACAGUGCCGCCGGCCUUCGUCCUGUGUGCACCGGGACAUUAAUGUACACAUAACACCAAUGUUGUAGAUGUAAAGCUAGCAAAUUUGACAAUAACUAAACCUAAAUCAACAAAUCAUUCUGGCAGAAAGAGUUACACCAUGACAUGCAUGAGUCAGUGGGAGUGUAGUACCGAUAGGUGAUAGUGAGCGUGUCGGGGCGGUCGUAGGCCUCGUCAGCGGCGAUGGCGACGCCACGCGGCACGCGCAGCUUGUACGUGAGCGUCGUGUUGACGCCGUCGAACGUCGCGUUAGACACGCACUCGUACCUGCGCACACGUGGCAAAAACAUAUUAAUUGCGAGUACAACUCUGUCAAUGAAAAUUACAUUUAAAUUGAAAAAUAUCUGCUCUUCUAAAAGAUCAAACUCCUGUCUCACAGCCAAUUUCUUCUUUGACGGUACAAAUCAAAGUUACUGUUACUUUUCGCUUUAUGAUGUUUGUGAUUUACUUUUACAGUUAAUGGAGAAACUGGCUGAACUAAUCCUCACUAUGUAAAAUAAUUCCCCCAUUUUAUCCACGAGUGUAACUCACCCGGCGUCGAGGUUGCGGCAGUGGGAGUUGAGCGGACAGCCCUGCAGCUGACAGAACUCCACCUCGGCGCAGUCCUUGCCUUUGUAGCCGCGGGGACACGCGCAUCUGUGCACAUACACACAUGCAUAUUAUUAUUAACAUCUAAAGGUCAUACAUGUAUUAAUGAAAGGAUACCCAAAGCCAAUUUAUAUAUUAUCAAUUACUUGGCCUUAUUUUUGUUUAUAAUAUAUUAAUUAAAUCAUGAACUUGUUGAAUGAAAUCAUGAAUCAUGAAAUUGGUCAGAUUCCACAUACAAUAAACUCACUCAAAUAAUAAUUGAAGAAAAAAGAGACAAAGGACCAUUCAGAGUCGUUCCAGGUGGUGGUACAAGUGGCGUUGUGCAGACAGGGUCGUUGUGCGCAUGCGUCGUCGGACACCACUCCGCGCAGCACGCCGGUCGGGUCGAACCACACGUGUCCGAACGGACGCGGCAGCUGCAGACCUGGCACGCGCAGCGGGAAGAACUCCACCACCGUCACGUUCACGCCGUUCGAUACCUGUCGGGAAACAAACGCGAUAUAGUAUUGUUACCUCAAUGAGAUGCAAGUAUCCGUUGUCGAGACGCGUGCCGCCGACGGUGUAGUUCUCUGGCGUCUGGUUGAACCGCAGAUGGACGAGCAGCUCGCCGCCCGCCAGCGACGCGCCCACCUGCGUCUCCUCCGUCUGCCCGUACCUGCACAUGUACCACUCUUAUGCAAUCCUUAAUAACAAAUGUGAUAUCAUUUAUAUUAGAGCCGUCAAAUAAAUUAGCUUUUCAAUAUUUUAUAA